Molecule: ribosomal RNA, 433 nt
Filed under: uncultured bacterium
Lineage: Bacteria
Description: partial 16S ribosomal RNA
Rfam family: Bacterial small subunit ribosomal RNA
Source: RNAcentral
AACGAACGCUGGCGGCAUGCCUAACACAUGCAAGUCGAACGAGACCUUCGGGUCUAGUGUCGCCCGGGUUCGUAACGCGUGGGAACCUGCCCUUAGGGUCGGAAUAACUCUCCGCAAGGGGUGCCAUUACCGGAUAGUGUCUUCGGACCAAAGAUUUAUCGCAUUUGGAUGGGCCCGCGUUGGACUAGCUAGUUGGUAGGGUAAAAGCCUACCAAGGCGACGAUCCAUAGCUGGUCUGAGAGGAUGAUCAGCCACACUGGGACUGAGACACGGCCCAGACUCCUACGGGAGGCAGCAGUGGGGAAUAUUGGACAAUGGGCGAAAGCCUGAUCCAGCAAUGCCGCGUGAGUGAUGAAGGCCUUAGGGUUGUAAAGCUCUUUUACCCGGGAUGAUAAUGACAGUACCGGGAGAAUAAGCUCCGGCUAACUCCGUG